This 228-nucleotide long non-coding RNA is filed under the name Mytilus galloprovincialis (Mediterranean mussel). Lineage: Eukaryota; Metazoa; Mollusca; Bivalvia; Mytilida; Mytilidae. The record is from RNAcentral.
UUCAGGCAAUGUGAAAAUGGCUUGCAUGAAUCUUAAAUGAAUCCUAAAUAAAACAUGAUAAUAUAGACUAUGCCUGUGUGGUUAUUUACGUGACAAAUAAAACAUGAUAAUUUAGGCUAUGCCUGUGUCGUUAUUUACGUGACGAUAAGUGUGAAAAUGGCUUGCAUGAAUCUUAAAUAAAACAUGAUGAUAUAGACUAUGCCUGUGUCGUCAUUUACGUGACAAAUA